AUUGAACGCUGGCGGCAUGCCUUACACAUGCAAGUCGAACGGUAACAGGUCUUCGGAUGCUGACGAGUGGCGAACGGGUGAGUAAUACAUCGGAACGUGCCUAGUAGUGGGGGAUAACUACUCGAAAGAGUGGCUAAUACCGCAUGAGAUCUACGGAUGAAAGCAGGGGAUCGCAAGACCUUGUGCUACUAGAGCGGCCGAUAGCAGAUUAGGUAGUUGGUGGGAUAAAAGCUUACCAAGCCGACGAUCUGUAGCUGGUCUGAGAGGACGAUCGGCCACACUGGGACUGAGAAACGGCCUAGACUCCUACGGGAGGCAGCAGUGGGGAAUUUUGGACAAUGGGCGCAAGCCUGAUCCAGCAAUGCCGCGUGCAGGAUGAAGGCCUUCGGGUUGUAAACUGCUUUUGUACGGAACGAAAAGCCCCGGGUUAAUACCCUGGGGUCAUGACGGUACCGUAAGAGUAAGCACCGGCUAACUACGUGCCAGCCGCCGCCGUAA
RNAcentral lists this ribosomal RNA (498 nucleotides) under uncultured bacterium. RNAcentral describes it as "partial 16S ribosomal RNA". It matches the Rfam family "Bacterial small subunit ribosomal RNA", at positions 30 to 523 of the family's 1533-position model. The record is from RNAcentral.